This 957-nucleotide ribosomal RNA is filed under the name Micrococcus sp. Its description in RNAcentral is "bacterial SSU rRNA". It matches the Rfam family "Bacterial small subunit ribosomal RNA", at positions 504 to 1457 of the family's 1533-position model. The record is from RNAcentral. Lineage: Bacteria; Bacillati; Actinomycetota; Actinomycetes; Micrococcales; Micrococcaceae.
CGUGCCAGCAGCCGCGGUAAUACGUAGGGUGCGAGCGUUAUCCGGAAUUAUUGGGCGUAAAGAGCUCGUAGGCGGUUUGUCGCGUCUGUCGUGAAAGUCCGGGGCUUAACCCCGGACCUGCGGUGGGUACGGGCAGACUAGAGUGCAGUAGGGGAGACUGGAAUUCCUGGUGUAGCGGUGGAAUGCGCAGAUAUCAGGAGGAACACCGAUGGCGAAGGCAGGUCUCUGGGCUGUAACUGACGCUGAGGAGCGAAAGCAUGGGGAGCGAACAGGAUUAGAUACCCUGGUAGUCCAUGCCGUAAACGUUGGGCACUAGGUGUGGGGACCAUUCCACGGUUUCCGCGCCGCAGCUAACGCAUUAAGUGCCCCGCCUGGGGAGUACGGCCGCAAGGCUAAAACUCAAAGGAAUUGACGGGGGCCCGCACAAGCGGCGGAGCAUGCGGAUUAAUUCGAUGCAACGCGAAGAACCUUACCAAGGCUUGACAUGUUCUCGAUCGCCGUAGAGAUACGGUUUCCCCUUUGGGGCGGGUUCACAGGUGGUGCAUGGUUGUCGUCAGCUCGUGUCGUGAGAUGUUGGGUUAAGUCCCGCAACGAGCGCAACCCUCGUUCCAUGUUGCCAGCACGUAAUGGUGGGGACUCAUGGGAGACUGCCGGGGUCAACUCGGAGGAAGGUGAGGACGACGUCAAAUCAUCAUGCCCCUUAUGUCUUGGGCUUCACGCAUGCUACAAUGGCCGGUACAAUGGGUUGCGAUACUGUGAGGUGGAGCUAAUCCCAAAAAGCCGGUCUCAGUUCGGAUUGGGGUCUGCAACUCGACCCCAUGAAGUCGGAGUCGCUAGUAAUCGCAGAUCAGCAACGCUGCGGUGAAUACGUUCCCGGGCCUUGUACACACCGCCCGUCAAGUCACGAAAGUCGGUAACACCCGAAGCCGGUGGCCUAACCCUUGUGGGGGAGCCGUC